UUCAAGGGCUCCAACACCAAACAUAAUCAGAC
Molecule: non-coding RNA, 32 nt
Filed under: Mus musculus (house mouse)
Lineage: Eukaryota; Metazoa; Chordata; Mammalia; Rodentia; Muridae
Source: RNAcentral